RNAcentral lists this ribosomal RNA (2122 nucleotides) under gut metagenome. RNAcentral describes it as "bacterial LSU rRNA". It matches the Rfam family "Bacterial large subunit ribosomal RNA", at positions 14 to 2153 of the family's 2925-position model. The record is from RNAcentral.
AGGGCACAUGGCGGAUGCCUUGGCUCUCGGAGGCGAUGAAGGACGUGAUAAGCUGCGAUAAGCUGCGGGUAGGUGCAAAUGACCUUUGAUCCGCGGAUUUCCGAAUGGGACAACCCGAUACUUUGAAGAAGUAUCAUCCUGCAUUGCAGGAGGCUAACGCAGGGAACUGAAACAUCUUAGUACCUGCAGGAAAAGAAAAUAAACAAUGAUUCCCCCAGUAGUGGCGAGCGAACGGGGAACAGCCCAAACCAUCCAUGUUACGGCAUGGGUGGGGUUGUAGGACCACGCCGUGGCAAGAAAGUUGGUGAGCAGAAUGUUCUGGAAAGUACAGCCAUAGAGCAUGACAGCUGCGUAUGCGAAGCCAAGCGAAGCCUAGUGGUAUCCUGAGUAGCGCGGAGCACGAGGAAUUCUGCGUGAAUCUGCCGGGACCAUCCGGUAAGGCUAAAUACUCCCGAGAGACCGAUAGUGAACCAGUACUGUGAAGGAAAGGUGAAAAGCACUUCGAACAGAAGAGUGAAAUAGUUCCUGAAACCAUGUGCCUACAAGCGGUCGGAGCACCUUCUGGUGUGACGGCGUGCCUUUUGCAUAAUGAACCUACGAGUUACUUUUUCCGGCGAGGUUAAGGAUUUCAGAUCUGCAGCCGAAGCGAAAGCGAGUCUGAACAGGGCGUAUAGUCGGAAGGAGUAGACGCGAAACCAAGUGAUCUACCCUUGGGCAGGUUGAAGGAUGGGUAACACCAUCUGGAGGACCGAACCAAUAAGCGUUGAAAAGCUUCUGGAUGACCUGAGGGUGGGGGUGAAAGGCUAAUCAAACUUGGAGAUAGCUCGUACUCCCCGAAAUGCAUUUAGGUGCAGCCUUGACUUAUACUGGCAUGAGGUAGAGCGACUGAUAAGAUGCGAGGGCUUCACCGCCUAUCAAGUCUUGACAAACUCCGAAUGCGUGUCAGUUCUAUGUCAGGAGUGAGGGCAUGGGUGCUAAGGUCCAUGUCCUAAAGGAGAACAAUCCGGACCAACAGCUAAGGUCCCGAAAUGAAUACUAAGUUGAACUAACGAAGUCAGAUUGCUAAGACAGCUAGGAUGUUGGCUUGGAAGCAGCCAUUCAUUUAAAGAGUGCGUAACAGCUCACUAGUCGAGGAGUUUGGCGUGGAUAAUAAUCGGGCAUAAGUAUUCUACCGAAGCUUUGGGAUGAGAAAUCAUCGGUAGGGGAGCAUUCCACUCGGCGUCGAAGGUGAGGCGUGAGCCUUGCUGGAGCGUGUGGAAAAGCAAAUGUAGGUAUAAGUAACGAUAAGGCAGGCGAGAAACCUGCCCGCCGAAAGACUAAGGUUUCCUGAUCAACGCUAAUCGGAUCAGGGUAAGUCGGGUCCUAAGGCUCAGCCGAACGGCGAGGCCGAUGGCAGAACCGGUUAAUAUUCCGGUACUACCUGUGGGAGUGACGUGGAGACGGAGUCGUGACAGCGCCGCGGACUGACGGAAUAGUCCGUUGAAGGGUGUAGAUGCUGAUUGUUCCAGGCAAAUCCGGAGCAAGAGUCGAACCUGACAGUAUGGAGCGUUCUUAGAACAAUCCAAUAGUGCGUGUAAUCAUACUUCCAAGAAAAUCCGCUAAACUUAAUCCUGCAGGUACCCGUACCGCAAACGGACACACGUAGUCGGGUUGAAUAUACUAAGGCGCUUGAGUGAUUCACGGUUAAGGAACUAGGCAAACUGACCCUGUAACUUCGGGAUAAAGGGUCCUCGCUUUACGGCGAGGCGCAGAGAAUAGGUCCAGGCAACUGUUUAACAAAAACACAGGGCUGUGCAAAAUUGAAAGAUGAAGUAUACAGCCUGACACCUGCCCGGUGCUGGAAGGUUAAGAGGAGAUGUCAUCGCAAGAGAAGCAUUGAAUUGAAGCCCCAGUAAACGGCGGCCGUAACUAUAACGGUCCUAAGGUAGCGAAAUUCCUUGUCGGGUAAGUUCCGACCUGCACGAAUGGUGUAAUGAUCUGGACGCUGUCUCAACCGUGAGCUCAGUGAAAUUGUAGUAUCGGUGAAGAUGCCGAUUACCCGCGAUGGGACGAAAAGACCCCGUGAACCUUUACUAUAGCUUAACAUUGAAUUUGGGUAAUUGAUGUGUAGGAUAGGCCGGAG